Molecule: ribosomal RNA, 612 nt
Filed under: uncultured bacterium
Lineage: Bacteria
Description: bacterial SSU rRNA
Rfam family: Bacterial small subunit ribosomal RNA
Source: RNAcentral
CCUACGGGAGGCAGCAGUAAGGAAUAUUGGUCAAUGGAGGCAACUCUGAACCAGCCAUGCCGCGUGCAGGAUGACGGCCCUAUGGGUUGUAAACUGCUUUUAUACAAGAGAAAACCCUGGUACGUGUACCAGGUUGAUAGUAUUGUAAGAAUAAGCAUCGGCUAACUUCGUGCCAGCAGCCGCGGUAAGACGAAGGAUGCAAGCGUUAUCCGGAUUCAUUGGGUUUAAAGGGUGCGUAGGCGGACUGAUAAGUCAGUGGUGAAAUCUCUUUGCUUAACAAAGAACUGCCAUUGAUACUGUCGGUCUAGAGUAUAGAUGACGUUGGCGGAAUAUGACAUGUAGUGGUGAAAUACUUAGAUAUGUCAUAGAACACCGAUUGCGAAGGCAGCUAACGAAACUAUAACUGACGCUGAGGCACGAAAGUGCGGGGAUCAAACAGGAUUAGAUACCCUGGUAGUCCGCACCGUAAACGAUGAUUACUCGUUGUUGGUCGAUAUGACAGUCAGCGACCAAGCGAAAGCGANAAGUAAUCCACCUUGGGGAGUACGCGGCAACGGUUGAACUUAAGNUUAGUUGCGNGNGAGNGCGACGACGGACGACGAGGAGGAGGAG